RNAcentral lists this long non-coding RNA (399 nucleotides) under Pan troglodytes (chimpanzee). RNAcentral describes it as "lincRNA". The record is from RNAcentral. Lineage: Eukaryota; Metazoa; Chordata; Mammalia; Primates; Hominidae.
CAGUUUGAGAAGAUGGCGGCCUGAACCGGAGUCCUUCUUCCCCUCCUCCCUCUCCGCUGCUGCAAUGCCCAGGCCCCCCCGACGUUCCUCGUCUGUAAUGGUGCCAGAGGCUUUAAAUCUUGCAGAAGCCACAUCUGCUGCCUGCAGCAGAGAUGGGGUUUCACCAUAUUGGCCAGGCUGGUCUUGAACUCAACAUGAUUCGCCCAACACAGCCUCUCAAAGUGCUGGGACUACAGUCUCUGGUAUGUCAUUAUCAGCAGUGUGAAAAUGCUGAUAAUGCAUUUUCCACCCUGUCUGGAUCUGGACAAGAGCCCACCACCCCGUUGGCAGUAGUCAGGCAGCUCUGCUCCUAAGAACCUGCAGCUUUUGGAAGAAAGGCACCCUGUGGUUUCAGAAGCC